Molecule: ribosomal RNA, 254 nt
Filed under: uncultured bacterium
Lineage: Bacteria
Description: partial 16S ribosomal RNA
Rfam family: Bacterial small subunit ribosomal RNA
Source: RNAcentral
UACAGAGGUCUCAAGCGUUGUUCGGAUUUACUGGGCGUAAAGGGCGCGUAGGCGGCUACCGCAAGUCGACUGUGAAAUCUCCGGGCUUAACCCGGAAAGGUCAGCCGAUACUGCGGGGCUAGAGUGCAGAAGGGGCAACUGGAAUUCUCGGUGUAGCGGUGAAAUGCGUAGAUAUCGAGAGGAACACCUGCGGCGAAGGCGGGUUGCUGGGCUGACACUGACGCUGAGGCGCGAAAGCUAGGGGAGCGAACGGG